UACGAAGGGGGCUAGCGUUGUUCGGAAUUACUGGGCGUAAAGCGCGUGUAGGCGGGUCUUUAAGUCAGGGGUGAAAUGCCAAGGCUCAACCUUGGAACUGCCUUUGAUACUGGAGACCUUGAGUCCGGGGGAGGUGAGUGGAAUUGCGAGUGUAGAGGUGAAAUUCGUAGAUAUUCGCAAGAACACCAGUGGCGAAGGCGGCUCACUGGCCCGGAACUGACGCUGAGACGCGAAAGCGUGGGGAGCAAACAGG
RNAcentral lists this ribosomal RNA (253 nucleotides) under uncultured bacterium. RNAcentral's name for it is "partial 16S ribosomal RNA". It matches the Rfam family "Bacterial small subunit ribosomal RNA", at positions 524 to 776 of the family's 1533-position model. The record is from RNAcentral.